Molecule: ribosomal RNA, 274 nt
Filed under: uncultured bacterium
Lineage: Bacteria
Description: partial 16S ribosomal RNA
Rfam family: Bacterial small subunit ribosomal RNA
Source: RNAcentral
AUACGGAGGGUGCGAGCGUUAAUCGGAAUUACUGGGCGUAAAGCGCGCGUAGGUGGACUGUUAAGUCAGAUGUGAAAGCCCUGGGCUCAACCUGGGAACUGCAUUUGAUACUGGCAGUCUAGAGUAUGGUAGAGGGUAGUGGAAUUCUCGGUGUAGCGGUGAAAUGCGUAGAUAUCGGGAGGAACACCAGUGGCGAAGGCGACUACCUGGCCCAAUACUGACACUGAGGCGCGAAAGCGUGGGUAGCGAACAGGAUUAGAAACCCCGGUAGUCC